This 308-nucleotide long non-coding RNA is filed under the name Mytilus galloprovincialis (Mediterranean mussel). Lineage: Eukaryota; Metazoa; Mollusca; Bivalvia; Mytilida; Mytilidae. The record is from RNAcentral.
GUCGCCUUUCUUGUUCUCAUAGAAUCAUAUGAUAUGAGCUCCAUGUUUUGUGAACGUCUUUCUUAACUGUCGUAUUAGACUGACCAGUGCAUAUCGCGCAUGGCACUUUAAAUGUAUUUUAGCGCGAAAAUUAACUUACAUUUAGCUGGAUUUAUUGCCGUCGUAGUUCCAUCUUGUCGCCUUCGUACUUUUAUUUGAUGGCAACACGACGGGAUUACGAGGUCUUCACGAAGUCGUGUUGCCAUCGUAAGACCUGCGGGUAGCUUCGUGAUUCAUUCGUGUAGACAACGUAAUGUCAAAACUGCCCG